Molecule: long non-coding RNA, 144 nt
Organism: Thalassophryne amazonica
Lineage: Eukaryota; Metazoa; Chordata; Actinopteri; Batrachoidiformes; Batrachoididae
Exons: 3
Source: RefSeq, a predicted model, not a curated record
AAAGACUAAUCAAACCAUCUAGUAACUGCUUCCCUCUGAAGUUUCCCUCAAGAUAGCCGGCGCUUCCCGCUCACAGUUUUAUCUGGUAAAGCGAAUGACUAGAGGCCUUGGGGCCGAAAUGAUCUCAACCCUCCACAAACACAA